This 1096-nucleotide long non-coding RNA is filed under the name Anas platyrhynchos platyrhynchos (common mallard). Its description in RNAcentral is "lncRNA (ENSAPLG00000026537.1)". Lineage: Eukaryota; Metazoa; Chordata; Aves; Anseriformes; Anatidae. The record is from RNAcentral.
AUUAGCUGCAGGUAAGCUGUGCUGAUUUGAGCUCCUAGCCAGUUCACCCUGCAGUCAACAAUCAACUUGAGCUGACAGAAGAGUUAGGAUUUGUGGGUGAAUGGAUGUAAGGAAGGGACAACACUGACAACCUCUGCAGUGAAGGGACAACACCGACAACCUCUGCAGUGAAGAUAAACCCAGUGAAGCUAGAUGGCAUUCAAGAAAAGAGGUCUUAGGCUUGAAAUCACAGAGCAGAAUGUAAGGGAGCUGAUGUAUGUGGAAAGCAGGUGCUGGUUAUAGGCACACAUGGUGACAGUCCAGGUUGGCAGAACCAUCUCUCAAAAUCACAAUUGCUGUGCUUAAACCUGCCUGGGAGUAUCAGCCCCAACUGGAUUCCCAUCACAAGGGCUUAUUUCCAGAAAAUGAUAUUCCUGGGACAGUAUAAAUCCCUACAUGAAGAUCACUCACCUUAACUGCUUGUACUGGUAUAAUUUUACUUGCCUACACACACAAAUGAACAGAAAGAUGUCACUUGGGGUUUGAAAACAGCUUAAAUCAACUGCAGUAGUAUGGAAAAUGAACCACUCACUAAAGUCAGAAAACGACAAGAGAAGGGACUUAAACAGGUGGAGGAAAGGUUGAUUUCAGGUAGACUGAAGGAGUAGAAGAGAGAAGAGUAUUCAGGUAGCCAGUAGAGCAUAGAGAAUGAAACAGAGAGGACUAGGGCAGUGUAAAGCAGUCUCUGACUACAGUAAGUCCAAGGUCACUGAAUAGCAAAAAAAAGAAUUACAAUAGGUGAAACAAAGGACUUCAGGACACAAAAAUGGUUGCUAGAACAACUGCUGAACUGCUGGUUGCACUGAGGGUACAACCGAGCACAAAACCGCCAUGAAGAACAGAUGUAAUUGGGAGAAGCUGAUAAAAGCAAGAUCAAGAAUGCGAUGAAAAUCAGCUGCACACUUAUGGAGAUGAGAAGGGAGAGCGUUUCUAGAGUAAUUAUUAAAACACAGUAAUCUCAACAUGGUUUUGUGAAAAAGUUCUUCACUGCCCUUGUACUUCAGAGCUCACAAAGGAGAAAAGCAGAUAAUAAAAGGUCAUAUUUACAAGAAAGUCA